Molecule: ribosomal RNA, 468 nt
Filed under: uncultured bacterium
Lineage: Bacteria
Description: partial 16S ribosomal RNA
Rfam family: Bacterial small subunit ribosomal RNA
Source: RNAcentral
GACGAACGCUGGCGGCGUGCUUAACACAUGCAAGUCGAACGGAAAGGCCCUGCUUUUGCGGGGUGCUCGAGUGGCGAACGGGUGAGUAACACGUGAGUAACCUGCCCUUGACUUUGGGAUAACUUCAGGAAACUGGGGCUAAUACCGGAUAGGAGCUCCUGCUGCAUGGGGGGGGUUGGAAAGUUUCGGCGGUUGGGGAUGGACUCGCGGCUUAUCAGCUUGUUGGUGGGGUAGUGGCUUACCAAGGCUUUGACGGGUAGCCGGCCUGAGAGGGUGACCGGCCACCAUGGGCCUGCGAUACGGCCCAGACUCCUACGUGCGGCAGCAGUGGGGAAUAUUGCACAAUGGGCGGAAGCCUGAUGCAGCAACGCCGCGUUCGGGAUGACGGCCUUCUGGUUGUAAACCGCUUUCGCCUGUGACGAAGCGUGAGUGACGGUAAUUGGUAAAGAAGCACCGGCUAACUACGUG